GGGUUGUGAGGUUAAGCGACUAAGCGUACACGGUGGAUGCCCUGGCAGUCAGAGGCGAUGAAGGGCGUGCUAAUCUGCGAUAAGCGCCGGUAAGGUGAUAUGAACCGUUAUAACCGGCGAUACCCGAAUGGGGAAACCCAGUGUGAUUCGUCACACUAUCAUUAACUGAAUCCAUAGGUUAAUGAGGCGAACCGGGGGAACUGAAACAUCUAAGUACCCCGAGGAAAAGAAAUCAACCGAGAUUCCCCCAGUAGCGGCGAGCGAACGGGGAGGAGCCCAGAGCCUGAAUCAGCAUGUGUGUUAGUGGAAGCGUCUGGAAAGGCGCGCGAUACAGGGUGACAGCCCCGUACACAAAAGCGCAUGUGCUGUGAGCUCGAUGAGUAGGGCGGGACACGUGGUAUCCUGUCUGAAUAUGGGGGGACCAUCCUCCAAGGCUAAAUACUCCUGACUGACCGAUAGUGAACCAGUACCGUGAGGGAAAGGCGAAAAGAACCCCGGCGAGGGGAGUGAAAAAGAACCUGAAACCGUGUACGUACAAGCAGUGGGAGCACAGGUUUACCUGUGUGACUGCGUACCUUUUGUAUAAUGGGUCAGCGACUUAUAUUCUGUAGCAAGGUUAACCGAAUAGGGGAGCCGGAGGGAAACCGAGUCUUAAUUGGGCGUUAAGUUGCAGGGUAUAGACCCGAAACCCGGUGAUCUAGCCAUGGGCAGGUUGAAGGUUGGGUAACACUAACUGGAGGACCGAACCGACUAAUGUUGAAAAAUUAGCGGAUGACCUGUGGCUGGGGGUGAAAGGCCAAUCAAACCGGGAGAUAGCUGGUUCUCCCCGAAAGCUAUUUAGGUAGCGCCUCGUGAAUUCAUCUCCGGGGGUAGAGCACUGUUUCGGCUAGGGGGCCAUCCCGGCUUACCAACCCGAUGCAAACUGCGAAUACCGGAGAAUGUUAUCACGGGAGACACACGGCGGGUGCUAACGUCCGUCGUGAAGAGGGAAACAACCCAGACCGCCAGCUAAGGUCCCAAAGUCAUGGUUAAGUGGGAAACGAUGUGGGAAGGCCCAGACAGCCAGGAUGUUGGCUUAGAAGCAGCCAUCAUUUAAAGAAAGCGUAAUAGCUCACUGGUCGAGUCGGCCUGCGCGGAAGAUGUAACGGGGCUAAACCAUGCACCGAAGCUGCGGCAGCGA
Molecule: ribosomal RNA, 1180 nt
Filed under: Salmonella enterica subsp. enterica serovar Infantis
Lineage: Bacteria; Pseudomonadati; Pseudomonadota; Gammaproteobacteria; Enterobacterales; Enterobacteriaceae
Also listed under: 9 other names
Description: partial 23S ribosomal RNA
Rfam family: Bacterial large subunit ribosomal RNA
Source: RNAcentral